UACGGGGGGGGUAAGCGUUGUUCGGAAUUACUGGGCGUAAAGGGCUCGUAGGCGGCCAACUAAGUCAGACGUGAAAUCCCUCAGCUUAACUGGGGAACUGCGUCUGAUACUGGAUGGCUUGGAUUCGGGAGAGGGAUGCGGAAUUCCAGGUGUAGCGGUGAAAUGCGUAGAUAUCUGGAGGAACACCGGUGGCGAAGGCGGCAUCCUGGACCGAUAUUGACGCUGAGGCGCGAAAGCCAGGGGAGCAAACGGG
Molecule: ribosomal RNA, 253 nt
Filed under: uncultured bacterium
Lineage: Bacteria
Description: partial 16S ribosomal RNA
Rfam family: Bacterial small subunit ribosomal RNA
Source: RNAcentral